RNAcentral lists this ribosomal RNA (460 nucleotides) under uncultured bacterium. RNAcentral describes it as "partial 16S ribosomal RNA". It matches the Rfam family "Bacterial small subunit ribosomal RNA", at positions 338 to 795 of the family's 1533-position model. The record is from RNAcentral.
CCUACGGGGGGCAGCAGUGAGGAAUAUUGGUCAAUGGACGAGAGUCUGAACCAGCCAAGUAGCGUGAAGGAUGACUGCCCUCUGGGUUGUAAACUUCUUUUAUAUGGGAAUAAAAUGUUCCUCGUGUGGGAUUUUGUAUGUACCAUAUGAAUAAGGAUCGGCUAACUCCGUUCCAGCAGCCGCGGUAAUACGGAGGAUCCGAGCGUUAUCCGGAUUUAUUGGGUUUAAAGGGAGCGUAGGUGGAUUGUUAAGUCAGUUGUGAAAGUUUGCGGCUCAACCGUAAAAUUGCAGUUGAAACUGGCAGUCUUGAGUACAGUAGAGGUGGGCGGAAUUCGUGGUGUAGCGGUGAAAUGCUUAGAUAUCACGAAGAACUCCGAUUGCGAAGGCAGUUCACUGGACUGCAACUGACACUGAGGCUCGAAAGUGUGGGUAUCAAACAGGAUUAGAUACCCGAGUAGUC